RNAcentral lists this long non-coding RNA (1659 nucleotides) under Agrilus planipennis (emerald ash borer). RNAcentral's name for it is "uncharacterized LOC108743990". Lineage: Eukaryota; Metazoa; Arthropoda; Insecta; Coleoptera; Buprestidae. The record is from RNAcentral.
UCGAACCGGCGUCCUCCCGAUGCAAUGGUCUAGACCUCUAGGCCAUGCCGCUCGGUUUUUAGUAUUUCUCAUUGUCACAUAUACGGCUGGAGUGACAAAUUUUUGGAUUUAGCAGCAAAUUAGUGAUAAAUUAUAAUGCAAUUUAGAAAUGAGAAAUAUAACUUUGUCGGACUUUCUCAAGUCUAAGAAAUUUUCAAGCAAGUGGUUUUAUGUUAGAUAUACAUAGAGAGUUUAAUAAAUAUCCAUUUUUUAAUAACGUUUCCAAUAAAUCUUUUACCUGACAUAAUAAGAAAAACAAUAUUGCAUCGGCUAGGAAUCAAACUUGGUAAGCAGUCAUUCUAUAACUACCGACGCUUCUUGCAAAGUUUAUCUGACUUAAGGUAUUUUUUACUCGUAUUAAUUACAGGUUAAUUUAAAUUAAAUUUUACCUUUCGAAUAAUGUAAGGUUCAUUCACCUCCUUUUAUAAUAAAAAAAUACUAGAUGUAGGUGUAGUGAUUGAUAUCUUUAUGAUGAUUUUUUUUUUUUUCGCUCAAAAGGAAUAGCGGUGGCGAAGUAUCGUGUUAUCAUAAUAUUAAUAGGGGAAGGAGUACUAUACAAUCCAAAUGAAAAAUUCAGCUUUUUUGUAUGUAAGAAGGUUUUCAUUAAAGCUCAAGCGCUUAAUGUGUACUCUCAACGUAGGAAAAGUAAAUUAAUAGUUAGAUGUCACAGAUAGAGACCAGUAUAAUACUCUAUUACACAAUUAGGUAGUUUUAUAAAAAUACAUACUACAUAAUACGAUGAAAUUUUAAAACAUGCUGUCAUUUCUUUAAUUUGCGUGCAAUUUUUCAAUCCAAAUAUGUGGGUCCUGCUAAUAAGUGUACCUCCUACACAUAAAUCUGCCCACGGGUUUUUAAACAACACUUGUGUUUUAGACGCAGAAUCCAUACACUGUAUCUAUAGCUACGUUGAAAGUAUGUAAAUUCUUAUAUAAAGUUUUGCUUAAAAAUUUCAAUUUCAAAAAUCAGAUAAUUUCGGAGCAAUAUAAUUAGAAAAAUUUAUUGCACUUGCAUAGAUAUUUGUAAUUUUGCAAUAAAUAAAGUAUAUUAAUAAUUUUCAAAAUUGUAUCUAAACACAUAUAUAAUCAUUUGAGUUCCGAUUAAUUAUUUUUCAUGAUCUGUACACCAUAUUUUAUUUAAUUGUAUUAAAGGAAAUGUCAAUUGAGAAAUGUGUGGGAUGAUGGCAUUAAGUAAAUCAUAAUUGGUGUUUAAGAAGUGGCCUGAAUAAUAAUUGAGGCAAUGUAUCUAUAUUUUAAAACACGAGCAUUUCUAACACUUUUAAAGACGUUACCUAAUAACGAUAACGUUAAAUAAAUAUUUAAAAUUAUUUUCGCAAUUACAAAGAUGGUGUUAAAAAUUAGAAACAAUUUUGAUAGGUAGGCACAUAUGAAAAGUAAAAUGGUAAAAAUGGCACAAUAUAAGGUAAAACUGACCUGAAAAUCUGGUACCAGGGCUAUGGCUGCACUACUAGGAGAGCCUUUUGCUGCUGAGCCCCAUUCCGACAUCACGUGUGCCACUGGAAACAAAAGAAAGCCUAAUUUAGUAUACAAAUGUAUACGUAACAGGUAAGGAUGAUGAAGUUAUUUUGUCAUAUAAGUCAUAUUAAACGUAUUUGUACAUUAA